This 447-nucleotide ribosomal RNA is filed under the name uncultured bacterium. Its description in RNAcentral is "partial 16S ribosomal RNA". It matches the Rfam family "Bacterial small subunit ribosomal RNA", at positions 29 to 523 of the family's 1533-position model. The record is from RNAcentral.
AACGAACGCUGGCGGCAGGCUUAACACAUGCAAGUCGAACGCCCCGCAAGGGGAGUGGCAGACGGGUGAGUAACGCGUGGGAACGUACCUUUCAGUUCGGAAUAACUCAGGGAAACUUGUGCUAAUACCGGAUACGCCCGUAAGGGGAAAGAUUUAUCGCUGAAAGAUCGGCCCGCGUUGGAUUAGCUAGUUGGUGGGGUAAUGGCCUACCAAGGCGACGAUCCAUAGCUGGUCUGAGAGGAUGAUCAGCCACACUGGGACUGAGACACGGCCCAGACUCCUACGGGAGGCAGCAGUGGGGAAUAUUGGACAAUGGGCGAAAGCCUGAUCCAGCCAUGCCGCGUGAGUGAUGAAGGCCCUAGGGUUGUAAAGCUCUUUCACCGAUGAAGAUAAUGACGGUAGUCGGAGAAGAAGCCCCGGCUAACUUCGUGCCAGCCGCCGCCGUAA